RNAcentral lists this ribosomal RNA (465 nucleotides) under uncultured bacterium. RNAcentral's name for it is "partial 16S ribosomal RNA". It matches the Rfam family "Bacterial small subunit ribosomal RNA", at positions 338 to 795 of the family's 1533-position model. The record is from RNAcentral.
CCUACGGGAGGCAGCAGUAGGGAAUCUUCCACAAUGGACGAAAGUCUGAUGGAGCAACGCCGCGUGAGUGAAGAAGGGUUUCGGCUCGUAAAGCACUGUUGGUAGGGAAGAAAGAUAGAGGUAGUAACUGGCCUUUAUUUGACGGUAAUUACUUAGAAAGUCACGGCUAACUACGUGCGAGCAGCCGCGGUAAUACGUAGGUGGCAAGCGUUGUCCGGAUGUAUUGGGCGUAAAGCGAGUGCAGGCGGUUCAAUAAGUAUGAAGUGAAAGCCUUCGGCUCAACCGGAGAAUUGCAUAAGAAGCUGUUGAACUUGAGUGCAGAAGAGGAGAGUGGAACUCCAUGUGUAGCGGUGGAAUGCGUAGAUAUAUGGAAGAACACCAGUGGCGAAGGCGGCUCUCUGGUCUGCAACUGACGCUGAGGCUCGAAAGCAUGGGUAGCGAACAGGAUUAGAUACCCCUGUAGUC